UACGUAGGGUGCAAGCGUUAAUCGGAAUUACUGGGCGUAAAGGGCGCGUAGGCGGCCACCGCAAGUCAGUUGUGAAAUCUCUGGGCUUAACCCAGAAAGGUCAACUGAUACUGCGGGGCUAGAGUGCAGAAGGGGCAACUGGAAUUCUCGGUGUAGCGGUGAAAUGCGUAGAUAUCGAGAGGAACACCUGCGGCGAAGGCGGGUUGCUGGGCUGACACUGACGCUGAAGCGCGAAAGCUAGGGGAGCGAACGGG
Molecule: ribosomal RNA, 254 nt
Filed under: uncultured bacterium
Lineage: Bacteria
Description: partial 16S ribosomal RNA
Rfam family: Bacterial small subunit ribosomal RNA
Source: RNAcentral